Molecule: ribosomal RNA, 253 nt
Filed under: uncultured bacterium
Lineage: Bacteria
Description: partial 16S ribosomal RNA
Rfam family: Bacterial small subunit ribosomal RNA
Source: RNAcentral
UACGGGGGGUGCGAGCGUUGUCCGGAAUCACUGGGCGUAAAGGGCGCGUAGGUGGUUUGAUAAGGGUGUGGUGAAAGCCCGGGGCUCAACCCCGGGUCUGCCGUGCCGACUGUCAAACUCGAGGGCUGUAGAGGCAGACGGAAUUCCGGGUGUAGCGGUGGAAUGCGUAGAUAUCUGGAGGAACACCGGUGGCGAAGACGGCAUCCUGGACCAACACUGACACUGAGGAGCGAAAGCCAGGGGAGCAAACGGG